GAUUUGUCAAGCGAUGAUGAAAGUGAAGGACAAUCCCAUCCACCUGCAUCUUUAGUAUUGAAAAGUAGACCUCAAACACACACGAAUGAUGCAUUUGGGAUAAAUGACAUCCUGUUGCUAUGGAAAAUAACAAGAUUGUUUGAUAAUGGGGUGGAAUGCCGAGAGGCCUUAGAUGCUAUUAUUGAUCGAUGUUCAGCUCUGCAGAACAUACGCCAAGCAGUCUUGCAAUACAGGAAGUUGUUUAAUCAGCAGC
This 253-nucleotide unclassified non-coding RNA is filed under the name Hevea brasiliensis (rubber tree). The record is from RNAcentral. Lineage: Eukaryota; Viridiplantae; Streptophyta; Magnoliopsida; Malpighiales; Euphorbiaceae.